CCAUUUUUUAUGAUAUCCUUAUUCUACUCUCUCCCCCGUUUUUAUUUUCUCUCCGGGCAAUUUUUGCUUCGGCGGAGGGGGAAGAAGCAGCUAGCUACCCAAAGGUGACACUCAAAUACGCUUCACCCCGCGACACAAAACAGGACCAGUGCGUGGGUGGUGGUGCGGGGGUGUGCGUGUUAAACCUCUCUGAACUCUCCUAUCCGAUGCCGUUUGUCACUAUUGCCAUGCACAAUAAGCCUGGGCCAUUCAAACCAUUGGCAACCAACCAUUUUUCAAACUGUGCUUGGGAAAACCUCUAGCGCGGAAUGGAAGAUAUCAAACCCCCCGCCGGCCGGAUUACUGAUGAGAUGACUACAUAGCCAAGAGAGACGAAGAAACCCAAAACAACCAAACCCCCCAAACCGCCAUCCCACCCCAGCAGGCGGGCCGGCAAAUCAGAAUCACACAACCACAACAGAAAAAAAAAAAAACAUUAGGUGCGAGCGAGGAAAGAAAAGGAAUCGAGGAUGCGGUGAGGGAAACGGUCUUUCUCACUUCUUCCCCUCCCCUCCCAUCCCAUCGCAUCGCAUCCCCACCAAAGAAAAAGGAAAGAGCUCAUGCAAGUCCAAUUCGGGCGGAGAUUUAUGAUUACCAGCCCAGCCCAGCCCAGCCCAGCCCAACCCGACCAACCCCAAACCCGAUCCAAAUGAAACCGGGGUUGUGGGAUCCUGCGGAAUAGGAAACAAUAUCAUAUCAGAACCAGAAGAGUGGGUAUGGGAUCUAUCAUAUGAGGGACUUAACCGCAGGAGAGAAACUUGAAGAGAGAGGAGCGGCUGGGGCUGACUGGGCUGGCUUUCCCCCUCCCCCGCCCCCCUUGUGAUGGAUGGCGGAUGAGAAUUAGAUUUUUUUUUAAAGAAAAAAAAAGAAGAAGAAACUGUCGGCGCCCCUGUCGGCACCUUAUUAAGGCCGCCCCGGUGACCUGUUGGUCAUGUGACUGUAGGUCAUGUUACCAGCGCUCACCUGUUGUUUAUAAACACCCAAAAUAGCUAGAUAGCAAUAACCAAGAAUGCACAGUAAUAGUAGAAGCAGAAUAUGUCCCCUGGUCAUUGCAGAAGAUGUUGUUUAUAUUUUAAAGAUUCUAUCAUUUCUGUUUAGAUAUCUUGAAAAACAGCUCAAUGCUGCUCAAACUGAAUUCUCAAGA
RNAcentral lists this small RNA (1183 nucleotides) under Histoplasma capsulatum var. duboisii H88. RNAcentral's name for it is "Histoplasma capsulatum H88 hypothetical RNA". The record is from RNAcentral. Lineage: Eukaryota; Fungi; Ascomycota; Eurotiomycetes; Onygenales; Ajellomycetaceae.